Molecule: ribosomal RNA, 207 nt
Filed under: uncultured Lactobacillales bacterium
Lineage: Bacteria; Bacillati; Bacillota; Bacilli; Lactobacillales
Description: partial 16S ribosomal RNA
Rfam family: Bacterial small subunit ribosomal RNA
Source: RNAcentral
AGCGCAGGCGGUUGGAAUAGUCUGAUGUGAAAGCCCACGGCUUAACCGUGGAAGGUCAUUGGAAACUGUCCAACUUGAAUACAGAAGAGGUAAGCGGAAUUCCAAGUGUAGCGGUGAAAUGCGUAGAUAUUUGGAGGAACACCAGUGGCGAAGGCGACUUACUGGUCUGUAAUUGACGCUGAGGCUCGAAAGCGUGGGUAGCAAACA